AAGGGAAAUGGAAUAGUGAUGGAUAUGAAGAUUUCCGUGACGCAAAAGAAAAUGCCAACUCGCUCAAGCACAAGAGCAGCUAGCUAAAAUUUGAAGUCAAUAGAUUUGCUCAAGAAGAAGCAAGUAAAUGAAAUUAUGAUGGCGAGUCCAAGGAAACAAAAGAUCACAGAGAGCUGAGAGUGAAUUUGGGCGGGGAUAGGAGAACCAUUUCAAUCGCGGAGGCCGAGCAAAACACGACAAGUAACUUGGGCCAAUCUAGGUUGUGGCAUCUAGCUGCUGAUGGUUAAGCCAUUUCUUCAUCGUCUAGAUAAUGAAGCCAGCCAAGUUUUGCUAGAAUUUGGAGGGCAAAUGCUUUCAGAUAACUUUUAGUAUACUUCAUGUUGUUGGGCUUGUAAUGUUCUUCAAUCAUCGUCUCCUUUUAUAUUGGGCCAGAAACAGUAAUAGCUGAAUUCACAGAUCACCCGUCCGCACAAACCACCACUUUUCCAUAUUCCCAAUCAGUCCCCUUCUCUAUUCUCUCUGGAAACGCAGAGGCCAAUAGGAAUGAAGGGCUCUUUCUUUUCAGAAUUUCUAUCAAGGUAAAGAUUUAGUUAUGAUGUUUAUAUGUAUGAGCUCAAUCUGUUGUUUGACUCAGUUUCCCCAAAAGGAAACUCUCUGCGCGCAAGUGUAGUAGAAACAAAAGUUCUCAAACUUUAUGAGUAGGUACAAGUGUACAACAGCACACAAUGUUUACCAAUGAUCGCAGACAAGAAGAGUGAACUGGAAGAUCUAGAACUUCAAGGCUGCAAUACCUUCAGAGUGAAGGUAUAAGAUACUUGCUUUGAUGUUGAAUUGAUUUGGUUAAAUGCUCUGCAUACCAAUUCGGCCUGAUGAGAAUUUCAUAAGAUUACAUACGGCUCAAUGUGGUGGAACUUUUUCUGGACUGCAUAAAACAACCAUAUGAAAAGCUUGUGGAAUUUAGGGUAGUUGGGAUCUGCAAUUGUUGCCACGAUCUGGCCGAUGAAACAAUUAUCACUCUGUGUGGUGGGAUCCCUGUUGUGAUACAAUGUUUAUCAAGCGCAGUUAGAAACACUGGUACUUGUAAUAUGAGAAUAGUCUCAAGAAUGGUACGUACAGUAAACUUAAGAACAUCUAUACGCAGAAGACAAAAUGAUGGUGCAUGUAUUCCUAAGCUUCAAAGCAGAGAUAAUGGUGAAUGUAUUUUUUUGAUGAGAUUUUGGAACUAUAUAAGCAGAUGACUGCUUAUACAACAGUAUAAUUCUUUAUUAAACAGUAUAUGUGUACAGGUUCUGUGUUGAGUUUAUUGUUGUUACUUCACUUA
Molecule: long non-coding RNA, 1321 nt
Organism: Rosa chinensis
Lineage: Eukaryota; Viridiplantae; Streptophyta; Magnoliopsida; Rosales; Rosaceae
Exons: 5
Source: RefSeq, a predicted model, not a curated record